Molecule: ribosomal RNA, 500 nt
Filed under: Ptenidium sp. TJH-2005
Lineage: Eukaryota; Metazoa; Arthropoda; Insecta; Coleoptera; Ptiliidae
Description: partial 16S ribosomal RNA
Rfam family: Archaeal large subunit ribosomal RNA (bases 374-500)
Source: RNAcentral
GUCUUUUUGAUUAUAAUUUAAAGUCAGGCCUGCUCUAUGAUUUUAAAUGGCUGCGGUAUUUUGACCGUACAAAGGUAGCAUAAUCAUUAGUUUUUUAAUUGAAAGCUGGAAUGAAGGGUUUUACGAAAAAAAAUCUGUCUCAAUUUAAUUUAAUUAGAAUUUUAUUUUUAAGUUAGAAAGCUUAAAUUUAAUUAUGGGACGAGAAGACCCUAUAGAGUUUAAUAUUUUAUAUAAUUGAUUAUUUAUUAUUAUUAAUUAUAAAACAAUAUUUGAUUGGGGUGAUUUUAAAAUUUAAAUAACUUUUAAUUUAUAUUUAUAUUAAUUAAUAGAUUUUUGAUCCAGAUAACUGAUUAUAAGAAUAAAUUACCUUAGGGAUAACAGCGUAAUAUUUUUUGAGAGUUCUUAUCGAUAAAAAAGAUUGCGACCUCGAUGUUGGAUUAAAAUCAAUUAAUAGUGAAGAAGCUAUUAAAUUAGGUCUGUUCGACCUUUAAAAUUUUACA